UCUUAUCCAGAGUGGUGGAGGGAAGUGCCCAAGGAAGCCACAGCAACCGUCUAAAUAGACAAGGUGCUAAUUCACUGAAUGAUCAAGAUCAUUCGAAGAUGAG
This 103-nucleotide non-coding RNA is filed under the name Nosocomiicoccus massiliensis. RNAcentral's name for it is "SAM riboswitch (S box leader)". It matches the Rfam family "SAM riboswitch aptamer (S box leader)". From Rfam's summary of the family: The SAM riboswitch is found upstream of a number of genes which code for proteins involved in methionine or cysteine biosynthesis in Gram-positive bacteria. The SAM riboswitch acts at the level of transcription termination control. Lineage: Bacteria; Bacillati; Bacillota; Bacilli; Caryophanales; Staphylococcaceae. The record is from RNAcentral.